UGGGGAAUAUUGGACAAUGGGGGGAACCCUGAUCCAGCCAUGCCGCGUGUGUGAAGAAGGCCUUAUGGUUGUAAAGCACUUUAAGCGAGGAGGAGGGUACUGGUAUUAAUACUACCAGGUACUGGACGUUACUCGCAGAAUAAGCACCGGCUAACUCUGUGCCAGCAGCCGCGGUAAUACAGAGGGUGCGAGCGUUAAUCGGAUUUACUGGGCGUAAAGCGUGCGUAGGCGGCUAAUUGAGUCGGAUGUGAAAUCCCCGAGCUUAACUUGGGAAUUGCAUUCGAUACUGGUUAGCUAGAGUGUGGGAGAGGAUGGUAGAAUUCCAGGUGUAGCGGUGAAAUGCGUAGAGAUCUGGAGGGAUACCGAUGGCGAAGGCAGCCAUCUGGCCUAACACUGACGCUGAGGUACGAAAGCAUGGGGAGCAAACAGG
RNAcentral lists this ribosomal RNA (430 nucleotides) under Pseudomonadota bacterium. RNAcentral describes it as "Proteobacteria bacterium partial 16S ribosomal RNA". It matches the Rfam family "Bacterial small subunit ribosomal RNA", at positions 355 to 776 of the family's 1533-position model. Lineage: Bacteria; Pseudomonadati; Pseudomonadota. The record is from RNAcentral.